AAGAAGAAGAAGACGAGGAAGAGAAGAUAGAAAAAGAAAACAAGAAGUUCAGUUAGUUUUAGUGCUUUUUUCAUUUUCUUUCUCUUCUCUUCUCUUCUCUCUU
This 103-nucleotide non-coding RNA is filed under the name Chloropicon mariensis. Lineage: Eukaryota; Viridiplantae; Chlorophyta; Chloropicophyceae; Chloropicales; Chloropicaceae. The record is from RNAcentral.